ACAAAUUGAAGUUGUGUGGUACAAUUUGGGAGUUGAAGUAGUCACUACAAAACAUUUUCAAAUCAUGCUACCAACACCAACCCAAAAUAAAAUUAAUUUCAUACAUAU
Molecule: long non-coding RNA, 108 nt
Organism: Alosa sapidissima (American shad)
Lineage: Eukaryota; Metazoa; Chordata; Actinopteri; Clupeiformes; Clupeidae
Exons: 3
Source: RefSeq, a predicted model, not a curated record